GGGGGCAUAGCUCAGCUGGGAGAGCAACAGACUGAAGUUUGUAUUUAAGUUGGUAGAAUCUUCUGGAGGUCCCCAGUUCAAUCCUGGGUGCCCCCA
Non-coding RNA from Armillaria borealis, 96 nucleotides. The record is from the annotation of a GenBank genome assembly. Lineage: Eukaryota; Fungi; Basidiomycota; Agaricomycetes; Agaricales; Physalacriaceae.